CCUACGGGAGGCAGCAGUGAGGAAUAUUGGUCAAUGGUCGGGAGACUGAACCAGCCAAGCCGCGUGAGGGAGGAAGGUACAGAGUAUCGUAAACCUCUUUUGUCAGGGAACAAAGGCGGGGACGUGUCCCCGGCUGAGUGUACCUGAAGAAAAAGCAUCGGCUAACUCCGUGCCAGCAGCCGCGGUAAUACGGAGGAUGCGAGCGUUAUCCGGAUUUAUUGGGUUUAAAGGGUGCGCAGGCGGUCUGUUAAGUCAGCGGUCAAAGCCCGGGGCUCAACCCCGGCCCGCCGUUGAAACUGGCAGUCUCGAGUUGGAGAGAAGUAUGUGGAAUGCGCGGUGUAGCGGUGAAAUGCAUAGAUAUCGCGCAGAACUCCGAUUGCGAAGGCAGCAUGCCGGCUCCACACUGACGCUGAGGCACGAAAGCGUGGGUAUCGAACAGGAUUAGAUACCCUUGUAGUC
This 459-nucleotide ribosomal RNA is filed under the name uncultured bacterium. RNAcentral's name for it is "partial 16S ribosomal RNA". It matches the Rfam family "Bacterial small subunit ribosomal RNA", at positions 338 to 795 of the family's 1533-position model. The record is from RNAcentral.